This 253-nucleotide ribosomal RNA is filed under the name uncultured bacterium. RNAcentral describes it as "partial 16S ribosomal RNA". It matches the Rfam family "Bacterial small subunit ribosomal RNA", at positions 524 to 776 of the family's 1533-position model. The record is from RNAcentral.
UACGUAGGGGGCAAGCGUUGUCCGGAAUUAUUGGGCGUAAAGAGCGUGUAGGCGGCCCGGUAAGUCCGCUGUGAAAGUCCAGGGCUCAACCCUGGAAUGCCGGUGGAAACUGUCGGGCUAGAGUCCGGAAGAGGCGAGUGGAAUUCCUGGUGUAGCGGUGAAAUGCGCAGAUAUCAGGAGGAACACCAAUGGCGAAGGCAGCUCGCUGGGACGGUACUGACGCUGAGACGCGAAAGCGUGGGGAGCAAACAGG